RNAcentral lists this small RNA (1035 nucleotides) under Histoplasma ohiense. RNAcentral describes it as "hypothetical lncRNA". The record is from RNAcentral. Lineage: Eukaryota; Fungi; Ascomycota; Eurotiomycetes; Onygenales; Ajellomycetaceae.
ACUCGUUUAGUGAUGACGACUUAAAGAUGAUCUGUAAACGGUUGUCUCCUCUUGCUCCUGAAAGGGAGAUACAACAGCUAGUUGAAUUUGUCUCUUCGUUAAAUAUUAAAAUAACGAACGAACGACUCCUGGGAACUACUGGAGGACCUUGGGAAAUAAAUUUGCGAGAUAUUUCAAGAUGGCUCAGACUUCUUGAAUCCACUCCAAUCCGAGUUUCUCCUUCUCAGUUCCUCGAUGUUGUGAUUAGCCAGAGAUUUCGCACACAUGGUGACAGAUCCCUCGUUUUGUCAUUGUACGAGGAUGUCUUCCAAUCGACACCUGUUGUUAAAAGCUAUUUCCAUAACCUGAGCGUGUCGCAAUACCAAGUUGGCCUUAGUAUACUUCAACGCGACCCGCUGGUGCAAAAUUUCAAUGAUCCUCAGAUGAAGAUACUCACCGGCGAUCUAGCAAUUAUGGAAUCAUUGGCAUUGUGCAUAGAGCAAGGAUGGCCCAGUAUUCUCGUGGGCACAUCAGGAUGUGGGAAGACGACCAUUUUGCGGAAGCUUGCCACUUUGAGUGGUUGCAAGCUUGUGGAAUUGGCACUAAACGCGGACACUGAUACUAUGGAUCUUGUUGGGGGCUUUGAGCAGGUAGACAAUGACCGCCAUCUGCUAUGUUUCAUGGAUGAAUUGAGCCAGCUUUUGCAAAAUCAAGUUGUUUCUACAUACACCGCAACCGAACAGACCCGUAUGGACAGUGAGCUUGUGCAACUUUACCAAGACGUCAAGAGCGGGUCAUCUAAUCUUGAAACAAUUUCGGAGGCACUUCAUAGAAUUUCACUCAAGGGAUUACAUCCGAGCUUCACAGAGUUUUACCAACGUUCUAAAACACUGCUAAAAUCAUCCUUUGUUAACCAGACGAUCGGCUUCGAAUGGACGGAAGGCAUAUUUGUCCAAUCAGUCCAGAAAGGUGAUUGGGUGGUCCUUGACAAUGCCAACCUCUGUAAUCCCUCCGUUUUAGAUCGACUAAAUUCACUCAUGGAACCGAACGGGCAUU